RNAcentral lists this ribosomal RNA (795 nucleotides) under uncultured archaeon. RNAcentral describes it as "bacterial SSU rRNA". It matches the Rfam family "Archaeal small subunit ribosomal RNA", at positions 85 to 879 of the family's 1478-position model. The record is from RNAcentral.
ACGGCUCAGUAACACGUGGACAACCUGCCCAAAAGUCUGGGAUAACCCCGGGAAACUGGGGAUAAUACCGGAUAGAUCAUUCUUCCUGGAAACUGGUGAGUGGUUUAAACCUCUGGGGCUUUUGGAUGGGUCUGCGGCUGAUUAGGUUGUUGCCGGUGUAACGUACCGGCAAGCCGGUUAUCAGUACGGGUUGUGGGAGCAAGAGCCCGGAGAUGGAUUCUGAGACACGAAUCCAGGCCCUACGGGGCGCAGCAGGCGCGAAAACUUUACAAUGCAGGCAACUGCGAUAAGGGAACAUCGAGUGGCAUUCAUAAUGGGUGUCUGUCCACCCGUCUAAAAAACGGGUGUUAGCAAGGGCCGGGCAAGACCGGUGCCAGCCGCCGCGGUAAUACCGGCGGCUCGAGUGGUGGCCGAUAUUAUUGAGCCUAAAGGGUCCGUAGCCGGCUUUGCAAGUCCUGUGGGAAAUCCAGCGGCUUAACCGUUGGGCGUCCGCGGGGUACUACAUUGCUUGGGACUGGGAGAGGUAGGAGGUACUCAGGGGGUAGGAGUGAAAUCCUGUAAUCCUUUGGGGACCACCGGUGGCGAAGGCGUCCUACCAGAACAGGUCCGACGGUGAGGGACGAAAGCUAGGGGCACGAACCGGAUUAGAUACCCGGGUAGUCCUAGCCGUAAACGAUGCUCGCUAGGUGUCACGGCAGUCGUGAAUUGCCGUGGUGCCGUAGGGAAGCCGUGAAGCGAGCCACUUGGGAAGUACGACCGCAAGGUUGAAACUUAAAGGAAUUGGCGGGGGAGCAC